ACUAGCAAGGAUUCCCCUAGUAACUGCGAGUGAAGCGGGAAAAGCUCAAAUUUAAAAUCUGGCGGUCUCCGGCCGUCCGAGUUGUAAUCUAGAGAAGUGUUAUCCGCGCUGGACCGUGUACAAGUCUCCUGGAAUGGAGCGUCAUAGAGGGUGAGAAUCCCGUCUUUGACACGGACUGCCAGGGCUUUGUGAUGCGCUCUCAAAGAGUCGAGUUGUUUGGGAAUGCAGCUCAAAAUGGGUGGUAAAUUCCAUCUAAAGCUAAAUAUUGGCGAGAGACCGAUAGCGAACAAGUACCGUGAGGGAAAGAUGAAAAGAACUUUGGAAAGAGAGUUAAACAGUACGUGAAAUUGCUGAAAGGGAAACGCUUGAAGUCAGUCGCGUUGGCCGGGGAUCAACCUUGCUUUUGCUGGGCGUACUUUCCGGUUGACGGGUCAGCAUCAAUUUUGACCGUUGGAUAAAGUCCAGGGGAAUGUGGCAUCUUCGGAUGUGUUAUAGCCCUUGGUCGCAUACAACGGUUGGGAUUGAGGAACUCAGCACGCCGCAAGGCCGGGUACUUGUACCACGUUCGUGCUUAGGAUGCUGGCAUAAUGGCUUUAAUCGACCCGUCUUGAAACACGGACCAAGGAGUCUAACAUGCCUGCGAGUGUUUGGGUGGAAAACUCGGACGCGUAAUGAAAGUGAAAGUUGAGAUCCCUGUCGCGGGGAGCAUCGACGCCCGGACCAGACCUUUUGUGACGGAUC
Molecule: ribosomal RNA, 741 nt
Filed under: Hebeloma velutipes ectomycorrhiza S21
Lineage: Eukaryota; Fungi; Basidiomycota; Agaricomycetes; Agaricales; Hymenogastraceae
Description: eukaryotic LSU rRNA
Rfam family: Eukaryotic large subunit ribosomal RNA
Source: RNAcentral